RNAcentral lists this unclassified non-coding RNA (588 nucleotides) under Camponotus floridanus (Florida carpenter ant). RNAcentral's name for it is "n-acetyltransferase 6, transcript variant X3". Lineage: Eukaryota; Metazoa; Arthropoda; Insecta; Hymenoptera; Formicidae. The record is from RNAcentral.
UCACUCACUACCACCAUGAUUCCGCAUAUAGAAUAGAGGUUACGGGGAGAAGUAAGAUACCGAGAAAAAAAGGUCGCUUUGGGGCUUUCGGGGUCGAGACGAACGUUAAUAGAAUCGGUCACGGACAGACGCGGAUACUGUCUCUCAUUGAGUCUUUCCUAGAUAGACAAAGCGAAUCUUGGCUAGUCAAUAAGGAAGAUGUAUAAGGAACAAUGCAAAAUCUCGAGAAACCCGAGAAGAUGAAAGGAAACCGGGGAUCAGAGAGAGGUGGGACGGGUGCGCACGAGAGGGACGCACAUGGGAAUGGUUAUUCGGCAUAACGCGGUGGGGAUAAAAUCAGACCGAAAUAUCAUUCCGGAGCGGAAAACGAUGACACCGUCGCCACCGGGAUGCCAUUCCCAUUCGAGUCCGCGCAAACGAGCUCUCCACCUCGCUGAGAAAUUAGGCGGGCAAAAUAUGACGGAAAGCACUGCUAAGUACGUAGUGAUACCUCUCCACCAUCGGCCUGAUUUGAUCAGAGAUUGUUGUAAGUUACUUAAUUCUGAAUGGCCUCGAAGCGAAACUGCACGCUCUUGUAUUGUUAAAUUG